RNAcentral lists this ribosomal RNA (493 nucleotides) under uncultured bacterium. RNAcentral describes it as "partial 16S ribosomal RNA". It matches the Rfam family "Bacterial small subunit ribosomal RNA", at positions 28 to 506 of the family's 1533-position model. The record is from RNAcentral.
GACGAACGCUGGCGGCGUGCUUAACACAUGCAAGUCGAACGGUGAAGCGCCUUCCUUUUUGGUGGGUGUGGAUGAGUGGCGAACGGGUGAGUAACACGUGAGUAACCUGCCCCCUUCUUCUGGAUAACCGCAUGAAAGUGUGGCUAAUACGGGAUAUUCUGGGUCUGUCGCAUGAUGGGUCUGGGAAAGAUAUUGUUUCGGUGGGGGAUGGGCUCGCGGCCUAUCAGCUUGUUGGUGGGGUGAUGGCCUACCAAGGCGGUGACGGGUAGCCGGCCUGAGAGGGUGGACGGUCACGCUGGGACUGAGACACGGCCCAGACUCCUACGGGAGGCAGCGGUGGGGAAUAUUGCACAGUGGGCGCAAGACUGAUGCAGGGACGCCGCGUGAGGGAUGGAGGCCUUCGGGUUGUGAACCUCUUUCGCCAGUGAAGCAGGCCUGCCUCGUUUGUGGGUGGGUUGACGGUAGCUGGAUAAGAAGCGCCGGCUAACUACGU